Non-coding RNA from Punica granatum (pomegranate), 712 nucleotides. The record is from RefSeq and is a predicted model, not a curated record. NCBI's taxonomy places the organism in Eukaryota, Viridiplantae, Streptophyta, Magnoliopsida, Myrtales, Lythraceae.
GUUCUCGUAUUUAUGCAGCUUUACUGUAGUAGACAAUUGUGAAUGUGCGAAGGAUUUGUCGUAUUAUAUAUAGUAGGGAAAGACAGGACAAUGAGAGGUGAAGUUAUAGAAGAAGUUGAUCUAAGCUCGAGCUUAUUCAACCACUCUGACUCUUCAGAUCUUCGCAAAAGAACUGGUUCUUACACACAGGUCAUUCAAGCAAUCAGAUGCCAAACCUCCAACACACAGAAUUGCUCCUGUUGUCGAGUCUAGGAUCACAUUAGUGUCUGUUAGAAGUGAAGUGCAAGAGCGAGCAUUCAUAUCCAAACAGUACAAAAUGGACGGCAGUGGCACAUAUAAUAGCAGGAGUAGUCGGGGAAGGGGUGCUAUCCCUAGCAUGGAGGGUAGCGCAGCUCGAUUGGAUCCUAGGUCCUCUCUGCAUCGUCCACUUCUCUGCAAUCACUCUCAUUUCAGCUACUCUUCUUGCUGAUUGAUACAGAUGUUGGAAGGAUGAAUCAGUCACUGAUCCAUGCUGUGUUUGUCUGUCUGUUAAGGUUGUCUCUGUUGUAUGUGGGUCAGUUAAGUCGAAGUCAGUUGGCUCUCUUGACAGUUAAGUGUUUGUUGUUUUUUUUUGAAUUUUAAAUGUAACCGUAGAGCAGUUACCAGCAGUUGUAUUAUCUUUAUAUGUAUGGGAUAUGUCAGACAAUGUAUGGUGGUUCCAGUGGAUGAAUGA